Molecule: RNA transcript, 2085 nt
Organism: Phragmites australis (common reed)
Lineage: Eukaryota; Viridiplantae; Streptophyta; Magnoliopsida; Poales; Poaceae
Exons: 9
Source: RefSeq, a predicted model, not a curated record
UGCCCCAAGCGACCUCUAUUAAACGGCGACACCUCACGCUGGCCUCGCUGCCAUACCUGCCGCUUUUCAAUGCGCGCUGGCGAUCGAGGAGCGAGUUCAGCGGCUAAAGAUUUCCUUUUUCUGAGAGAAUGCGGGGUGGUGGCGGUUUCGGGUUUGGGUUUCGGGGCGUAGUGGUGGAGGACGAGGAAGAGGUGGUGGUGUCGGCGCCGCAGAGGCCAAUGCAGCGGCGGCGGCGGCUGUGGGGAGAGGAGGCCGACGACGGCUACUCGCCGAGUUCCACGAGCGGCGGCGGGAGCAGUUGCUGCGGCUCCCUCGGCCGCGACUCGCCUUUGGCCGGGUUCGUGCGCCCAGAUGGUGACCCGAACACAGAUCUGGAGACAGAUGGGCUGGCCACUUCCUCCUCCAGUGCCUUCACGGAGCGGCAGGACGACGACGAGGAGGUGUUGUGCGGGGCGAAGGAAGAGGAGUGGGCUCAAGUACAAGAACCGGCCAAGAAUUCGGCAGGCCGUGCCACCCCAGAAUACCAGAACCAGCUGUACCGGCUGGAGGCUGCUCUUUUGCAUGGUAGGAAGGGGUCGAAACAGCGGCCGGCCUCGCUCGACUUAGGUAGUCCUGGGUUCAAUGGAGGCUCGUUUUCUCCAAGUUUCGUGGUCGGCGGUGUGGGAUUGAUGAACAAGGGACUUGUAUCAUCACACAUCAGGUCAGACGUGUUUCGUAGUCCUGGAAGGCCAAACUAUCCGCGGCACCGUUCAUCAGUGUUGGGGUGCCAGAAAGGGUGGAGCUCUGAGAGAGUGCCACUUCCUUCUAAAGGAAAUAGGAGGUACCCUGGGAGCAGCAUGGCAUUUCCUUACAGCAAUAGGAGGGCAUUGCCCUCGAAAUGGGAGGAUGCGGAGAGGUGGAUCUUCAGUCCGAAUUCCAGUGAUGCCCUUGAAAGAACAUCAGUUGCUCAUGCCCGGCAACCAAAGUCUAAAAGUGGCCCCCUGGGGCCUCCUGGAAGACUUGGCGGACAGUAUUCAUCUGUCUCUUCGGUGUCAUUGCUUGAUAGUGGGAGAGCUGGACAUAUUACAGCAAAUUCACCUUUCUUGGCGGGAGUACUAAUGCCGGAUCAUAUUUGUGGAGGAAAAAAUACCAAUGGAAUGUAUCCAGGCAGACCAGCUGGUGAUGAAUUCGGCAUUGGAAGCGGAGGCAGGUUUUGUCUAGCGAAUGGUGGGCCUCAUGCUAUUCGAUCUACCAGAGUUCGCCAGCGAUUAGAUACUGCGGUCGAGUCAUCUGCUUCAUUGCCUAGCACCCAAGAAUCCAUACAAGAUGAACAGGUUGAAAUCACAGAAGAUUCAGCCACCACUAUUGCCCCUAUAAUUUCGAGGAAAGAUGCUGCAACUCAAACUAGCUCAGAGCUAAGUAGGUCCUCUUCGCCCAACACCAGGCCUCUAUUUACCCGUUCACUGUCGGCGCAUCAAGUCAAAGAGAGCGAGAGCUGUAUCUCAGAUCUUGAGAUCAGGGAUGUGCAGAUGGAUGAUCGAGUGAUUCUGACUAGGUGGUCAAAAAAAAAUGUAACACGAUCCACUAACAAGAAUUCAACAAACAUAAUAGAGUGGAAGGAAAAGACAGUGGAGUCUAAAUGUUCUUCCUGGGACUUAACUGAAGCGGAGUGCAUAUCUAAGAUUGAGAGAGCGGAUGCAAAAAUGACUGUAUGGGAGAAUCUUCAAAAAGCAAAAGCUGAGGCAGCAACUCAAAAGUUAGCGAUUAAGUUCGAGAAGAAAAGAUCAUCUUCACUGGACAAGAUUCUGAACACCCUCAGGUCUGCUCAAAGAAAAGCGCGAGUGAUGCGUGAGCGUGAUGCAGCAGCAGCAAACCAAAAUGAAAAGAAAUCUAGAACAAACCAAAAUGAAAAGAAAUCUAGAACGGCAAAAAAGACAGCUCAGAUUAGCAAGAAUUGCCAAAUCAGUUCUCUGAGUGGCUGCUUCACUUGCCAUGCUUUUUAAUGAUGUACUUCCACGAUUGACAGCAUCUAUACUGCACUCUUCCUGUUGCAUCCAGCAAGAUAGUAUCAUGUUGACAACAAGGAAGCAAGACCCGAGGUAUUUU